AUAUCGCAUAAAAAAUGGUAAUAAUAAAAUUUGAUAUAUAACUUACUCAUGGAAAUUACGAAGAAAAUAUGACUUUGACGUAAUAUGUAUUUUGGAGGUAGUCCUCGUAUUGAUCGCAAUGCUGCUUCACAUUUGACAUCAGUGAGGGGAAUUCACCCUUCACUUUUGCCAACCCAAGUGCCAUAUACAAAGUCGACGAGGGUGAUGUGCGUUAUAUAAUGAGAAAGUAAUAUCCCACACUGUUUAUAAACAUACACAUUCUCUACCCCUUCUACAUAAUAUCCUUAAUCGUAAAAAUGCAUCGGUAUUUCGUAAAAUAUUACAAAAUGUAAGAAUUCUGUUAUUCUACAGAAUUCUAUUUAUAUACUGCACAUUAUGUUAUUUGUUGCGAACAUCUUUUAAUUUUCAUUAAAUUAACCGUAUCGAUGUUUUUCACCGUUGUUGAAUAUAAACUGAAACUAUGUCUGCGAAAAACCUUUGCAGUAUUUUCUAAAGGUUGUGACGACCUCAUAAUUUCUCUUCGCCAUUUUUUCCACGGUGCAAGGAGAUCUAAGAUUUUGUCAGCUCUUUAUUAUAUUCGAGCCUUACUUCUCACGCUGCACGCUCGAGUACUUACGAAAAGGAAAUUCUUCGAGAGCGGCACACGCAAGGCGUGAGAAGUUCUUUUUUUUUACGUCAUACCGAGUUUCCACUGCAUAAAAAAUAAGGUGAACGGGUGUCGGUGUGAAACGUGUCUCCGCAAAAUUGCACGAAAAAUUUCCACGAGAAGAAUUUAAAAAUUAACGUCUUAAGUAACGUACUCCCUGAAAAAUCUUCGAUAGUACCUGAAUAAUUUCUCUGAUAUGAGUAAAUAUGUUCGGACAGGAAGAGGAGAAUAUUUUCGUGACAAUACAAAUAUUUAAGUUUACUAGACAAUUUUACAAUCUUAAGUAAAUUUCUCAAGCGUUUACGAUAUGUUUAUAAAUUGCUAAAAAGCUUAAAAAUUGUUAUGAUUGAACAUUUUUUAGAAUUCUUUUUAAAAUUUGAUUUUAUGAUGUUAUUCUACGUUACUACGAAAGUGUAAAAUUUUGUAAUGAAGUAAGUUUUUAAAAACUUCAAGUGCUUAAUUUAACACCUUAGUCGCUUUCAAAAGAAGCAACCUUUAAAUAAAGCCUUUGAAAACAGGAUGAAUGAAAGGAAAUGCAAAGGAAAAGUGGCUGCUAGUAGGUGUGAAACAAGAUGAGAGAAGACUGUUUACACGAGACGAGAAAAAAGACUCCAGCUGCGAUAACGUUGCAAAGAGGGCGCAACAUACCACGCCGUUUCUACAAAUAUUCUUCCAGAAUAUACGACUUCGCAGCACAACUAUUAUCGCAAUUAGCACGAAUCACUCUCUUCGUUCAUUACCAGAAACCAUUCGAUAGGAUCGAAAUCGUAAUCGAAAUACAAGAUUUCAGAGAAUACCGCAGCCGUCUCGAUGCCAUUCGUUCCGGAAGAUACAGCUGAGAGAAAGUAAUAAGAGACCUCGAUGCAAAAGAAAUGUCGGAGUAGACUGCGCAGUAUUCGCGCGAGAAACGCCAGAGAGAAGAAAAAUUCGUAUUGUAAUAAAAUGACAACGAGGACGUCGUACGCGACGCCUUCUUGACGAAGAAUUUUCUCAUCUAUAUCUUGUUAAUUUGCAGCAUGUAACGACACUUGUAUCCGUCGCUUCUUCGUGUCACGCCCACGGAAAUUUCCAUCUUCACCAAUGAUACGUGUACAUUUUAAUUAUCACAACGGUUCGCCCGAGACGAAAGCUACGUAAACUCGUUUCAUGGAAUUUUACACAAUUUUAUUCGGUAAAAGCAAUUUCGUUCGCUUCGCGUCAUUUUAGAAUUGAGCUGGAUUAAACAGAUACUGAUAAAAUACUAGAUUUAAAGAGGAACGAUUAAAGAGACGAAUAACAGAUGUACUCUAAAUAUGUAUGUAUAAUCCAAUGUACGUGUUAUGUAAA
Long non-coding RNA from Bombus pyrosoma, 1972 nucleotides. RefSeq lists it as uncharacterized. The transcript has 3 exons. The record is from RefSeq and is a predicted model, not a curated record. NCBI's taxonomy places the organism in Eukaryota, Metazoa, Arthropoda, Insecta, Hymenoptera, Apidae.